Molecule: ribosomal RNA, 164 nt
Filed under: uncultured bacterium
Lineage: Bacteria
Description: partial 16S ribosomal RNA
Rfam family: Bacterial small subunit ribosomal RNA
Source: RNAcentral
CCUACGGGAGGCAGCAGUGGGGAAUAUUGGACAAUGGGCGAAAGCCUGAUCCAGCCAUGCCGCGUGUGUGAAGAAGGUCUUCGGAUUGUAAAGCACUUUAAGUUGGGAGGAAGGGCAGUAAGUUAAUACCUUGCUGUUUGACGUUACCGACAGAAUAAGCACCG